UACUGGCAAAGGUGCUCCGUCGAGAGCAA
RNAcentral lists this small RNA (29 nucleotides) under Bombyx mori (domestic silkworm). RNAcentral's name for it is "ovarian small RNA-6194". Lineage: Eukaryota; Metazoa; Arthropoda; Insecta; Lepidoptera; Bombycidae. The record is from RNAcentral.